RNAcentral lists this long non-coding RNA (1671 nucleotides) under Haliotis rufescens (red abalone). RNAcentral's name for it is "uncharacterized LOC124152085". The record is from RNAcentral. Lineage: Eukaryota; Metazoa; Mollusca; Gastropoda; Lepetellida; Haliotidae.
AGUGAUAUAUGCCCCGUCCGAAGCCACGAUUAUUCAUCAAAUCACGAGACACGGGUCCCCACCAUGGCGAGCCUCGCAGGGAAGUACGAACUCCCAAAUGUUGCAUAAAGCUUGUCACGAGAGACGAAAAUUCCCACUCCCGACGGGGGUGUUCAAAGAUAGGUCUGAAGCGUGUCGAUCCUUUCAUUGACCAGCGGGGUUGGCCGUUUGUCGACAGAUCUCAACAAGUGACACAGAAUCGGACAAAAAUGGAACUGUUUUAUAUGUCAACCUGUUCUAACGCUGACCCGACCGGGCAGUGUAGUUAGAGGUAAUGGGCCGAAUCGGCCCGAUUCAGACCAUAUGUGCUUUUUCGACACAACAUGGGGCAUUGCUGUAAAGCUAAACGUGUUUUUGUAAUUUCGGGCCAAGUAUUCGACGGAUAACCGUGUUUACAAUCCGAAAUCCUGUUAACUGUGAAAAUUGUGUCUUUUGAAAUAUUAAGAGCUUUUGUCGUUGAUAUCUUUGAUAUCGAAAUCUAUAGACCACUAAGCCAUUGCUAAGUUUCAUCAACAUGAUUUAGACAACAAACCCAUCCUACCUACGACCAUGAUAACAGUGAUCAAAGAGCAAAGUCGACAGCUUUGAGAAUUGGCAUUACGUUAGGCCCAAAGUCAGAGCCAAGAUCAAAAACAAGGUUUGAAGCACGGAUUUAUGUGUAUAACCCAUCCUAUAUUCGAAGGUCGACACUUACAGUACACCUGCGUUUGAAUUGAUCGAUUAAUGAAAAUGCUGCGCCCAGACGGUUCGUUCGUAUCUUUGGCUAUAACAAGAAAAACAUCCAAGACGCUGGAAUAUCAAUGCUGAAACUGAUCCGUGAUAGGGAGAAGAAAGUAGACUGACACUUUCCACAAACAAUGAACAAUUCCACUCCCGAGGAGGUUCAGACGGAAAGAGGGAGUUUUUCGAUCCCCCAUAAGGUUUAAUAAUUUUCCGCGUUCUUGACAAAUGCUCACGCGUGUCCACGCAAACUGGACCAUACAAAGAUAACGAUUUUAACAAAUGCUUAUUGUCGGGUAAAGAAAAUAGAGAGAAGAAAAAAGGAAAUGGAGAAAAGGUGUAAAAUGUCAGAUUUGACAGCUACAUUGAGAUGGUUGAUUGUUUUUCCUUUCAACUUUUAAAAAGAAAAAUGUAUCUGUUUUCAUCACGUCUGGUAUUUUUCAAAGGCAAUAUGUUCAUAUCAUUUGCGAGGUACAUGAACAAAUUGUCCCCGUGACGUUGCGUUUAAAUGUUUAACUUUCCAUUGUCCGUUAAGCUAUAGUUUGCAGCCGUUUAGCGGCUAGAGUAGAAAACGAUAACCCUCGUUCCAACAUUUGUACGAGAUCGUUUAAAAAUGGGUUCGUUUGAGAAAAUAUUUUCCCGAAUUCCUUACAGAUGUGACAAUAAAACAGUUUAGGAAAAUCAAAGUUUUUACUUUAAUGAGGGAAAUGACAUUACUGGAUUCAAAAAUCCAUUUGGCGUUCAAAUAUAUGUUCACGGUCUCCCCAUUAACUGAUGUCAUGGUGUGCUGAAAUGUCUGCAGCUUCAGUCAGUUGAAAAUUGGCUUGCACCUAGUUUAACCCACGAACUUGCAUUUUUAGAUCCAAUUUCGUUUUUGUCUUUAACGAUGUAAUAAAGUGAGACAGAUAUGUA